Molecule: non-coding RNA, 74 nt
Organism: Podarcis lilfordi (Lilford's wall lizard)
Lineage: Eukaryota; Metazoa; Chordata; Lepidosauria; Squamata; Lacertidae
Source: the annotation of a GenBank genome assembly
GCCUGGAUAGCUCGGUUGGUUACAGUGUGGCACCGAUAAUGGCAAGAUUGCAAGUUCGAUCCCCGUAUGGGACA